Molecule: ribosomal RNA, 2657 nt
Filed under: Salmonella enterica subsp. enterica serovar Typhimurium
Lineage: Bacteria; Pseudomonadati; Pseudomonadota; Gammaproteobacteria; Enterobacterales; Enterobacteriaceae
Description: partial 23S ribosomal RNA
Rfam family: Bacterial large subunit ribosomal RNA
Source: RNAcentral
GUAUUAUGAACCGUUAUAACCGGCGAUACCCGAAUGGGGAAACCCAGUGUGAUUCGUCACACUAUCAUUAACUGAAUCCAUAGGUUAAUGAGGCGAACCGGGGGAACUGAAACAUCUAAGUACCCCGAGGAAAAGAAAUCAACCGAGAUUCCCCCAGUAGCGGCGAGCGAACGGGGAGGAGCCCAGAGCCUGAAUCAGCAUGUGUGUUAGUGGAAGCGUCUGGAAAGGCGCGCGAUACAGGGUGACAGCCCCGUACACAAAAGCGCAUGUGCUGUGAGCUCGAUGAGUAGGGCGGGACACGUGGUAUCCUGUCUGAAUAUGGGGGGACCAUCCUCCAAGGCUAAAUACUCCUGACUGACCGAUAGUGAACCAGUACCGUGAGGGAAAGGCGAAAAGAACCCCGGCGAGGGGAGUGAAAAAGAACCUGAAACCGUGUACGUACAAGCAGUGGGAGCACAGGUUUACCUGUGUGACUGCGUACCUUUUGUAUAAUGGGUCAGCGACUUAUAUUCUGUAGCAAGGUUAACCGUAUAGGGGAGCCGGAGGGAAACCGAGUCUUAAUUGGGCGUUAAGUUGCAGGGUAUAGACCCGAAACCCGGUGAUCUAGCCAUGGGCAGGUUGAAGGUUGGGUAACACUAACUGGAGGACCGAACCGACUAAUGUUGAAAAAUUAGCGGAUGACCUGUGGCUGGGGGUGAAAGGCCAAUCAAACCGGGAGAUAGCUGGUUCUCCCCGAAAGCUAUUUAGGUAGCGCCUCGUGAAUUCAUCUCCGGGGGUAGAGCACUGUUUCGGCUAGGGGGCCAUCCCGGCUUACCAACCCGAUGCAAACUGCGAAUACCGGAGAAUGUUAUCACGGGAGACACACGGCGGGUGCUAACGUCCGUCGUGAAGAGGGAAACAACCCAGACCGCCAGCUAAGGUCCCAAAGUCAUGGUUAAGUGGGAAACGAUGUGGGAAGGCCCAGACAGCCAGGAUGUUGGCUUAGAAGCAGCCAUCAUUUAAAGAAAGCGUAAUAGCUCACUGGUCGAGUCGGCCUGCGCGGAAGAUGUAACGGGGCUAAACCAUGCACCGAAGCUGCGGCAGCGANNUGCUGGAGGUAUCAGAAGUGCGAAUGCUGACAUAAGUAACGAUAAAGCGGGUGAAAAGCCCGCUCGCCGGAAGACCAAGGGUUCCUGUCCAACGUUAAUCGGGGCAGGGUGAGUCGACCCCUAAGGCGAGGCCGAAAGGCGUAGUCGAUGGGAAACGGGUUAAUAUUCCCGUACUUGGUGUUACUGCGAAGGGGGGACGGAGAAGGCUAUGUUGGCCGGGCGACGGUUGUCCCGGUUUAAGCGUGUAGGUGUGUGUUCCAGGUAAAUCCGGUUCACUUUAACACUGAGGCGUGACGACGAGGCACUACGGUGCUGAAGCAACAAAUGCCCUGCUUCCAGGAAAAGCCUCUAAGCAUCAGGUAACAUCAAAUCGUACCCCAAACCGACACAGGUGGUCAGGUAGAGAAUACCAAGGCGCUUGAGAGAACUCGGGUGAAGGAACUAGGCAAAAUGGUGCCGUAACUUCGGGAGAAGGCACGCUGACACGUAGGUGAAGUGAUUUACUCAUGGAGCUGAAGUCAGUCGAAGAUACCAGCUGGCUGCAACUGUUUAUUAAAAACACAGCACUGUGCAAACACGAAAGUGGACGUAUACGGUGUGACGCCUGCCCGGUGCCGGAAGGUUAAUUGAUGGGGUCAGCGCAAGCGAAGCUCCUGAUCGAAGCCCCGGUAAACGGCGGCCGUAACUAUAACGGUCCUAAGGUAGCGAAAUUCCUUGUCGGGUAAGUUCCGACCUGCACGAAUGGCGUAAUGAUGGCCAGGCUGUCUCCACCCGAGACUCAGUGAAAUUGAACUCGCUGUGAAGAUGCAGUGUACCCGCGGCAAGACGGAAAGACCCCGUGAACCUUUACUAUAGCUUGACACUGAACAUUGAGCCUUGAUGUGUAGGAUAGGUGGGAGGCUUUGAAGUGUGGACGCCAGUCUGCAUGGAGCCGACCUUGAAAUACCACCCUUUAAUGUUUGAUGUUCUAACGUGGACCCGUAAUCCGGGUUGCGGACAGUGUCUGGUGGGUAGUUUGACUGGGGCGGUCUCCUCCUAAAGAGUAACGGAGGAGCACGAAGGUUGGCUAAUCCUGGUCGGACAUCAGGAGGUUAGUGCAAUGGCAUAAGCCAGCUUGACUGCGAGCGUGACGGCGCGAGCAGGUGCGAAAGCAGGUCAUAGUGAUCCGGUGGUUCUGAAUGGAAGGGCCAUCGCUCAACGGAUAAAAGGUACUCCGGGGAUAACAGGCUGAUACCGCCCAAGAGUUCAUAUCGACGGCGGUGUUUGGCACCUCGAUGUCGGCUCAUCACAUCCUGGGGCUGAAGUAGGUCCCAAGGGUAUGGCUGUUCGCCAUUUAAAGUGGUACGCGAGCUGGGUUUAGAACGUCGUGAGACAGUUCGGUCCCUAUCUGCCGUGGGCGCUGGAGAACUGAGGGGGGCUGCUCCUAGUACGAGAGGACCGGAGUGGACGCAUCACUGGUGUUCGGGUUGUCAUGCCAAUGGCACUGCCCGGUAGCUAAAUGCGGAAGAGAUAAGUGCUGAAAGCAUCUAAGCACGAAACUUGCCCCGAGAUGAGUUCUCCCUGAGACUU